AAAUGAGGGCUUAGUUGGGGAUCAUUCCUAUAGUUUGUUACCAACAAGUGAGACCACAAGUGUAAGAGAUGGAAAGUCACAAGGCGGAGCUUUUAGUGUUCUCUUCUGAAUCUGAAGCUGCCCAGUAGUGCUGCUUUCAUACAGCUGCUGCUCACCAAUGAGGAUCGUUCCUUCUCCUCAGAGAAGGUGGAAAGAGGAAAAUUGCAAACUGAGUGGC
Small nucleolar RNA from Ornithorhynchus anatinus (platypus), 217 nucleotides. RefSeq annotates it as small nucleolar RNA U3. The record is from RefSeq and is a predicted model, not a curated record. The transcript has a single exon. Lineage: Eukaryota; Metazoa; Chordata; Mammalia; Monotremata; Ornithorhynchidae.